AUUGAACGCUGGCGGCAGGCUUAACACAUGCAAGUCGAGCGGGGUGAUGGUGCUUGCACUAUCACUUAGCGGCGGACGGGUGAGUAAUGCUUAGGAAUCUGCCUAUUAGUGGGGGACAACAUCUCGAAAGGGAUGCUAAUACCGCAUACGUCCUACGGGAGAAAGCAGGGGAUCACUUGUGACCUUGCGCUAAUAGAUGAGCCUAAGUCGGAUUAGCUAGUUGGUGGGGUAAAGGCCUACCAAGGCGACGAUCUGUAGCGGGUCUGAGAGGAGGAUACGCGACACUGGGACUGAGACACGGCGCAGACUCCUACGGGAGGCAGCAGUGGGGAAUAUUGGACAAUGGGGGGAACCCUGAUCCAGCCAUGCCGCGUGUGUGAAGAAGGCCUUAUGGUUGUAAAGCACUUUAAGCGAGGAGGAGGCUCUUUUGGUUAAUACCCAAGAUGAGUGGACGUUACUCGCAGAAUAAGCACCGGCUAACUCUGUGCCAGCCGCCGCUGUAA
This 503-nucleotide ribosomal RNA is filed under the name uncultured bacterium. RNAcentral's name for it is "partial 16S ribosomal RNA". It matches the Rfam family "Bacterial small subunit ribosomal RNA", at positions 30 to 523 of the family's 1533-position model. The record is from RNAcentral.